GAUGAACGCGGCGGCGUGCCUAAUACAUGCAAGUCGAGCGAGAAGCUUGGAAAUGACGCUUCGGUUGAUUUUCCAAGCGGACAGCGGCGGACGGGUGAGUAACGCGUAGGCAACCUGCCCCUGACAGAGGGAUAGCCAUUGGAAACGAUGAUUAAAACCUCAUGACACCGUAGUAGCACAUGCUACAUCGGUCAAAGAUUUAUCGGUCAGGGAUGGGCCUGCGUCUGAUUAACUGGUUGGUGAGGUAACGGCUCACCAAGGUGACGAUCAGUAGCCGACCUGAGAGGGUGAUCGGCCACAUUGGAACUGAGACACGGUCCAAACUUCUACGGAAGGCAGCAGUAGGGAAUCUUGCACAAUGGGCGAAAGCCUGAUGCAGCAACGCCGCGUGAAGGAUGAAGGCCUUCGGGUUGUAAACUUCUGUUCUAAGGGAAGAAAGAAAUGACGUACCUUAGGAGCAGCC
This 463-nucleotide ribosomal RNA is filed under the name Mogibacterium timidum. RNAcentral describes it as "bacterial SSU rRNA". It matches the Rfam family "Bacterial small subunit ribosomal RNA", at positions 28 to 492 of the family's 1533-position model. The record is from RNAcentral. Lineage: Bacteria; Bacillati; Bacillota; Clostridia; Peptostreptococcales; Anaerovoracaceae.